Molecule: long non-coding RNA, 1121 nt
Filed under: Polistes fuscatus (common paper wasp)
Lineage: Eukaryota; Metazoa; Arthropoda; Insecta; Hymenoptera; Vespidae
Description: uncharacterized LOC122524737
Source: RNAcentral
AUAGACAGAAUGAACUAGAGGGGAGAAAGAGAUAUAGGAUGGUGGCAGGAAAGACGGAAGGAGACGAGAAACUACAACUUGACUACUCCGGAGAAAGCCAUUGUUCUCUCUUAAAAACAACAGCCUGAAAUACUGCACCGGUGCGAAGCCCUGUCCCAGCAUUAACGUGAAAAAUCUCCUAAGAGACUAAGAUAAAAUUUAAGUUGACGAGAGGAAAGGAAAGAAGAAGAAGAAGAAGAGUGAAGAUAAUAACGACCAAAAACUUACAACUCCUCCCUCUGACGUUGAGACAGCACCAUUUUCAUGAUCCUUAGAUUGUUUGUUGCCUCUUACUGGAUUUUUCGAUAAUAAUUCGAUUGAGCACGACUAGAUUCUCCAGUCAGCUCUCGUUUUGUUCAAUACCCUGCCUUCAGCAUUGCCUGUAAUACAGAACAAAUAAAUUGAUUAAUGCAACGUUCAAAUAAUUGAAUAAAAAGGAAUAAUUUGAAGAUAAAAAUAUUAUUUAUAUAUAUACGGAUGAUACUGUUUACUUCUCUUCGACAAAGUCAAGAGAGAAGAAAAAACUUGGGAGAAAUAUAAGUUGGUCUCGUUUGGAAAUAUGUAUAUUCCGGUCAAUGUAAAAAGAAAGUACUAGUUAUCGCGUCAUCGGCAUGAACAACGAUCGAUUUAAAUGAGGUCGAAAUACUUUUCUUCGCGGAAGGUACGAAGAAGGUACGAAAGUGAAAGGGGGCGGUUAAUAAAUGGAGUAACGACCACAUAAGAAGGUUCGUAAAAGAGAACAAAAAAGAAGAGAUCAUGUUGUUCUAAGCCAUGUCCAAAAGCGUAAGAUAUCAUCAAGAGGCCAACGUUAAUCGUAUCGAUAUACAUAAAUAUUUACAUAAUUAUUUGCAAAUAAAGUCGCGCCAUUGAAAAUAAUACUUAAAAGUUCGAUAUAUGUAUUGUAGUUAUGCGAAAGCAUUUAGGUUAACUACUUUGUGCAUUUAUUACCAAUAUUAACUCAUGACAUUGGAAUUCCUUUGAUAAACCGGACAGAUCGGAUGAAUUAUAAUAUCGUUUCGCAAUGACCACUUUGUCCCUGUCCCGUAAGCAAAUGAAUAAAAAAAGAAAUAGAAAUACGGAAA